Molecule: ribosomal RNA, 1500 nt
Filed under: metagenome
Description: bacterial SSU rRNA
Rfam family: Bacterial small subunit ribosomal RNA
Source: RNAcentral
AGAGUUUGAUCAUGGCUCAGAUUGAACGCUGGCGGCAGGCCUAACACAUGCAAGUCGAACGGUAACAGGAAGCAGCUUGCUGCUUCGCUGACGAGUGGCGGACGGGUGAGUAAUGUCUGGGAAGCUGCCUGAUGGAGGGGGAUAACUACUGGAAACGGUAGCUAAUACCGCAUAAUAUCGCAAGACCAAAGAGGGGGACCUUCGGGCCUCUUGCCAUCGGAUGUGCCCAGAUGGGAUUAGCUUGUUGGUGGGGUAACGGCUCACCAAGGCGACGAUCCCUAGCUGGUCUGAGAGGAUGACCAGCCACACUGGAACUGAGACACGGUCCAGACUCCUACGGGAGGCAGCAGUGGGGAAUAUUGCACAAUGGGCGCAAGCCUGAUGCAGCCAUGCCGCGUGUAUGAAGAAGGCCUUCGGGUUGUAAAGUACUUUCAGCGGGGAGGAAGGGAGUAAAGUUAAUACCUUUGCUCAUUGACGUUACCCGCAGAAGAAGCACCGGCUAACUCCGUGCCAGCAGCCGCGGUAAUACGGAGGGUGCAAGCGUUAAUCGGAAUUACUGGGCGUAAAGCGCACGCAGGCGGUUUGUUAAGUCAGAUGUGAAAUCCCCGGGCUCAACCUGGGAACUGCAUCUGAUACUGGCAAGCUUGAGUCUCGUAGAGGGGGGUAGAAUUCCAGGUGUAGCGGUGAAAUGCGUAGAGAUCUGGAGGAAUACCGGUGGCGAAGGCGGCCCCCUGGACGAAGACUGACGCUCAGGUGCGAAAGCGUGGGGAGCAAACAGGAUUAGAUACCCUGGUAGUCCACGCCGUAAACGAUGUCGACUUGGAGGUUGUGCCCUUGAGGCGUGGCUUCCGGAGCUAACGCGUUAAGUCGACCGCCUGGGGAGUACGGCCGCAAGGUUAAAACUCAAAUGAAUUGACGGGGGCCCGCACAAGCGGUGGAGCAUGUGGUUUAAUUCGAUGCAACGCGAAGAACCUUACCUGGUCUUGACAUCCACGGAAGUUUUCAGAGAUGAGAAUGUGCCUUCGGGAACCGUGAGACAGGUGCUGCAUGGCUGUCGUCAGCUCGUGUUGUGAAAUGUUGGGUUAAGUCCCGCAACGAGCGCAACCCUUAUCCUUUGUUGCCAGCGGUCCGGCCGGGAACUCAAAGGAGACUGCCAGUGAUAAACUGGAGGAAGGUGGGGAUGACGUCAAGUCAUCAUGGCCCUUACGACCAGGGCUACACACGUGCUACAAUGGCGCAUACAAAGAGAAGCGACCUCGCGAGAGCAAGCGGACCUCAUAAAGUGCGUCGUAGUCCGGAUUGGAGUCUGCAACUCGACUCCAUGAAGUCGGAAUCGCUAGUAAUCGUGGAUCAGAAUGCCACGGUGAAUACGUUCCCGGGCCUUGUACACACCGCCCGUCACACCAUGGGAGUGGGUUGCAAAAGAAGUAGGUAGCUUAACCUUCGGGAGGGCGCUUACCACUUUGUGAUUCAUGACUGGGGUGAAGUCGUAACAAGGUA